UACGUAGGCCCCGAGCGUUGUCCGGAUUUAUUGGGCGUAAAGCGAGCGCAGGUGGUUUAUUAAGUCUGGUGUAAAAGGCAGUGGCUCAACCAUUGUAUGCAUUGGAAACUGGUAGACUUGAGUGCAGGAGAGGAGAGUGGAAUUCCAUGUAUAGCGGUGAAAUGCGUAGAUAUAUGGAGGAACACCGGUGGCGAAAGCGGCUCUCUGGCCUGUAACUGACACUGAGGCUCGAAAGCGUGGGGAGCAAACAGG
RNAcentral lists this ribosomal RNA (252 nucleotides) under uncultured bacterium. RNAcentral describes it as "partial 16S ribosomal RNA". It matches the Rfam family "Bacterial small subunit ribosomal RNA", at positions 524 to 776 of the family's 1533-position model. The record is from RNAcentral.